GACGAACGCUGGCGGCGUGCUUAACACAUGCAAGUCGAGCGGUAAGGCCCUUCGGGGUACACGAGCGGCGAACGGGUGAGUAACACGUGGGUGACCUGCCCCCUACUCUGGGAUAAGCCUGGGAAACUGGGUCUAAUACUGGAUAUGACCUCAUGUUGCAUGGUGUGGGGUGGAAAGUUUUUCGGUGGGGGAUGGGCCCGCGGCCUAUCAGCUUGUUGGUGGGGUGAUGGCCUACCAAGGCGACGACGGGUAGCCGGCCUGAGAGGGCGACCGGCCACACUGGGACUGAGACACGGCCCAGACUCCUACGGGAGGCAGCAGUGGGGAAUAUUGCGCAAUGGGCGAAAGCCUGACGCAGCGACGCCGCGUGAGGGAUGACGGCCUUCGGGUUGUAAACCUCUUUCAGCAGGGAAGAAGCGAAAGUGACGGUACCUGCAGAAGAAGCACCGGCUAACUACGUGCCAGCCGCCGCCGUAACAC
This 480-nucleotide ribosomal RNA is filed under the name uncultured bacterium. Its description in RNAcentral is "bacterial SSU rRNA". It matches the Rfam family "Bacterial small subunit ribosomal RNA", at positions 28 to 526 of the family's 1533-position model. The record is from RNAcentral.